AGAGUUUGAUCCUGGCUCAGGACGAACGCUGGCGGCACGCUUAACACAUGCAAGUCGAACGAGAGAAGAGGAGCUUGCUUUUCUGAUCUAGUGGCGGACGGGUGAGUAACACGUGAGCAAUCUGCCUUUCAGAGGGGGAUACCGAUUGGAAACGAUCGUUAAUACCGCAUAACAUAAUUGAACCGCAUGAUUUGAUUAUCAAAGAUUUAUCGCUGAAAGAUGAGCUCGCGUCUGAUUAGCUAGUUGGUAAGGUAACGGCUUACCAAGGCGACGAUCAGUAGCCGGACUGAGAGGUUGAUCGGCCACAUUGGGACUGAGUCACGGCCCAGACUCCUACGGGAGGCAGCAGUGGGGAAUAUUGCACAAUGGAGGAAACUCUGAUGCAGCGAUGCCGCGUGAGGGAAGAAGGUUUUAGGAUUGUAAACCUCUGUCUUCAGGGACGAAAAAAGACGGUACCUGAGGAGGAAGCUCCGGCUAACUACGUGCCAGCAGCCGCGGUAAUACGUAGGGAGCGAGCGUUGUCCGGAAUUACUGGGUGUAAAGGGAGCGUAGGCGGGAUCGCAAGUCAGAUGUGAAAACUAUGGGCUUAACCCAUAAACUGCAUUUGAAACUGUGGUUCUUGAGUGAAGUAGAGGUGAGCGGAAUUCCUAGUGUAGCGGUGAAAUGCGUAGAUAUUAGGAGGAACAUCAGUGGCGAAGGCGGCUUACUGGGCUUUAACUGACGCUGAGGCUCGAAAGCGUGGGGAGCAAACAGGAUUAGAUACCCUGGUAGUCCACGCCGUAAACGAUGAUUACUAGGUGUGGGGGGACUGACCCCUUCCGUGCCGCAGCAAACGCAAUAAGUAAUCCACCUGGGGAGUACGACCGCAAGGUUGAAACUCAAAGGAAUUGACGGGGGCCCGCACAAGCAGUGGAGUAUGUGGAUUAAUUCGAAGCAACGCGAAGAACCUUACCAGGUCUUGACAUCGUAUGCAUAGCUCAGAGAUGAGUGAAAUCUCUUCGGAGACAUAUAGACAGGUGGUGCAUGGUUGUCGUCAGCUCGUGUCGUGAGAUGUUGGGUUAAGUCCCGCAACGAGCGCAACCCUUACUGUUAGUUGCUACGCAAGAGCACUCCAGCAGGACUGCCGUUGACAAAACGGAGGAAGGUGGGGAUGACGUCAAAUCAUCAUGCCCCUUAUGACCUGGGCCUCACACGUACUACAAUGGCUGUCAACAGAGGGAAGCAAAGCCGCGAGGUGGAGCGAACCCCUAAAAGCAGUCUUAGUUCGGAUUGUAGGCUGCAACCCGCCUACAUGAAGUCGGAAUUGCUAGUAAUCGCAGAUCAGCAUGCUGCGGUGAAUACGUUCCCGGGCCUUGUACACACCGCCCGUCACGCCAUGGGAGUCGGUACACCCGAAGCCUGUAGUCUUACCGCAAGGAGGACGCAGUCGAAGGUGGGAUUGAUGACUGGGGUGAAGUCGUAACAAGGUA
This 1469-nucleotide ribosomal RNA is filed under the name metagenome. Its description in RNAcentral is "bacterial SSU rRNA". It matches the Rfam family "Bacterial small subunit ribosomal RNA". The record is from RNAcentral.